UAGGCACUGCAAUCCCACAGUGCACCGCAGUAGGCAGUGUAUUACCCUAGUGGACAGGGGAUUAUCCAUAAUGCACUGCGUUUUUGGUUUGAAGAUUCACACACAACUUCUAGCAGGAUUAGCGAGCCCAGCACAUCAUCAUCUCCACAGGCCCUUUCUCAGACAUAUAAGCUCUUCUCAUGUGUGCAAACCCAGCAGAUACCACUAAAACACUGAACCGUGGAAUCUCUGAGUUCAUCGUGACGGCUGCUGAUGCUGAACCACUGGAGAUUAUUCUCACCUUCCGUUGCUGUGUGAGGACAAAAAUGUGCCUUGUGUUUCUGUGAGGUCUAAACAAGCCCUUGGACGAGCAUGUGGGGUGUCGAGACCAGUCAUCACCACGUCAAUCACCAUUAAGGAAGGAUCCCAACUGAAACCUCAGAUUCAGUCAGUGCAGAUGGCUGUUGAGAGACUAUUGGUCUGAGCCUGCUGUAAUUUCAGAUGUCUAGUCUGUUUAAUGUAUGUAGAUUCUCUAAUCCCAUGUACAGAAUCAUGAGGGGUUUUUCACUGUAAUCUGGUUUUAUGGUAGUUUUGUGAUAAGAUUUUGGCCUGAAACAGUUUUAAUCCAAGUUUAUCACCACUUUACCACACAACAUUACAUAUAAAACAUAAAGACACAGGUUCAGCUGUAGGUUUGGAAAUAGUAAAUAAAAAGGCUGUGUUUGUAUCGUA
Pygocentrus nattereri (red-bellied piranha) is the source of this 711-nucleotide long non-coding RNA. RefSeq lists it as uncharacterized. The record is from RefSeq and is a predicted model, not a curated record. Lineage: Eukaryota; Metazoa; Chordata; Actinopteri; Characiformes; Serrasalmidae. The transcript has 2 exons.